UUGCCCCAGUAACGGCGAGUGAAGCGGCAACAGCUCAAAUUUGAAAUCUGGCCCUCGGGUCCGAGUUGUAAUUUGUAGAGGAUGCUUUUGGCGCGGUGCCUUCCGAGUUCCCUGGAACGGGACGCCUUAGAGGGUGAGAGCCCCGUACGGUUGGACACCAAGCCUCUGUAAAGCUCCUUCGACGAGUCGAGUAGUUUGGGAAUGCUGCUCUAAAUGGGAGGUAAAUUUCUUCUAAAGCUAAAUAUUGGCCAGAGACCGAUAGCGCACAAGUAGAGUGAUCGAAAGAUGAAAAGCACUUUGAAAAGAGGGUUAAAUAGCACGUGAAAUUGUUGAAAGGGAAGCGUUUGCGACCAGACCUUUUCCUAGCGGAUCAUCCGGUGUUCUCACCGGUGCACUUCGCUAGGUCGAGGCCAGCAUCGGUUUUCGUAGGGGGAUAAAAGCCCUGGGAACGUAGCUCCUCCGGGAGUGUUAUAGCCCUCUGCAUAAUACCCUUACGGGGACCGAGGACCGCGCUUUUAGCAAGGAUGCUGGCGUAAUGGUCGUCAACGACCCGUCUUGAAACACGGACCAAGGAGUCGAACAUUUGUGCGAGUGUUUGGGUGUUAAACCCUCACGCGUAAUGAAAGUGAACGGAGGUGAGAGCCCUUACGGGUGCAUCAUCGACCGAUCCUGAUGUCUUCGGAUGGAUUUGAGUAAGAGCAUAACUGUUCGGACCCGAAAGAUGGUGAACUAUGCGUGGAUAGGGUGAAGCCAGAGGAAACUCUGGUGGAGGCUCGCAGCGGUUCUGACGUGCAAAUCGAUCGUCAAAUCUGCGCAUGGGGGCGAAAGACUAUCG
This 835-nucleotide ribosomal RNA is filed under the name Nemania primolutea. RNAcentral describes it as "partial large subunit ribosomal RNA". It matches the Rfam family "Eukaryotic large subunit ribosomal RNA", at positions 75 to 937 of the family's 3401-position model. The record is from RNAcentral. Lineage: Eukaryota; Fungi; Ascomycota; Sordariomycetes; Xylariales; Xylariaceae.